Long non-coding RNA from Antechinus flavipes (yellow-footed antechinus), 2184 nucleotides. RefSeq lists it as uncharacterized. The record is from RefSeq and is a predicted model, not a curated record. The transcript is spliced from 2 exons. Lineage: Eukaryota; Metazoa; Chordata; Mammalia; Dasyuromorphia; Dasyuridae.
AACCAAGUAGCAUAUAGCUAAAUUCUCAAGAUCUUUAAAAGGCAACGACUGGAGUCUCUGUUUAAUUCCAGGUGUACAGGGGAGAUACUGGAGUUUCUAGAAUGGUUUUCUUGACCCAAGUCUAAAUAUUUCAGAAACUGCAGAGACCACGUGUCAGGGAAAGAGUGUGCUAUGUUCUUGAAGGUCAAUUAAUUGAUCAGUGAGCAUUCAUUAGAUGCCUACUUUGUAGGAGUCAUGGGAGACAGCCUUUGCAGUGAUAUGUACAUGGGUAAUCAAGUAUCUUGUGUGAGGAAGAGGAAACAGGAAAACUUUGCUUCCUGAAGGCCCCUCUGGCCCCAGAUUUUGUAGAACACGACAAAUGCUCCCUCUGACAAGUGGGGUGCAGGAGCCUGCCUGCCAAAUCAGGAGCCAGACCUCUGACCUGCGUCUUCGGGAACGGCAAUGGCCAAGCCUUCUAUUCAAGUCCCAGCCCAGGCUGGGGUUUCCAGCCUGACCUUUGCUCCCCUGCAGGGUCGCCGUGGCUCAAUCCCCAGCCUGGAAGCUCUCUACCCCACGAGUUUCCCUGCCUCCCCCUGGGAUUCAUGCUCUAACGCCCUCCUGGCCGGCAUUCUCUAACACCCGAGCCUUUGGCAUUGACGUGCCCCUGUGCCCCUGGCCACAGCAAUGCUCUUCCUACUGGCUCCAGCCCCGAGCCUCUGGGGAGGCCUUGGCACGCUUGUUCGCAUCAUGCCCUCCCUAUUUGCCAGGAACUGAUGAGGUAAAAGAAGUCAUAAAGGCCGGCCGUCAUGCGGAAAGAACUCACAGGCUCAGGCGCCGCAGAUUCAAGGGGCAAAACGUUUUAUUAUGAUGCCAUAAAUCAGGCACAGUGCCCUAGUGGGACUCACAUUUAGUAAGGAGGAAGUUGGGACCUUUUGUGAGAAAAGACUCAACGCUGGGGUACACUGAAGAUCGGGGGUGCUGGGCAAUGGUUUCUGGUAGCUUCUCUGAAAGAAGUCAGGCUCAAACCACCUCAAAUCAAGCAAAGACACUGAUUUGGCCAUUUGCUUAAGUAAAGGGUAAACCACACUGGGAACCUCCUCUUUAAGGGGGUGGGGACACCCAGCAGAGUGAUGUGAGGGUUUAUUCAGAGAAGGGAAAGGAAGCAAAAAAUAGGAGAAUUUGGCAGCAAGUUGGAUGAGCUCAGUAGAUUUUGCACUUCUUUUACAAUCCCAGGUCGGGCAUGCAUGAGCAAGGUCCCUGUGAAAAGGGUAAAAACCCUUUUGUUCCGGAGCGGGGGCAGCACCUUAUACAUGGAAAAAGCAAAGGGUCCUUUUAUUCCAAUGAAGUCUCUGAGAGAAAGUGGUAGAACUGCUGGGGCUGCGGCAGCAGCAAACACUCCAUGAUUCCCCUCAAAGACCUGUGACCCAAAUCCCUUUGGGGCCAGGAAUGAAUGUCUCAUUUUCCAUAACUGUUUCCAGCUGAUAAGGGGCAUAGACCUGCUCCUGCUUAAAGGCUUAGUCAUGAGUGAGUGGAGCUGGAUGGGAAUUGCAGCCCAGCACCUUCCACAGGUGGGAGGAGCAGCAUCCACAGGUGGGAGGAGCAGCAUCCACAGGUGGGAGGAGCAGCAUCCACAGGUGGGAGGAGCAGCAUCCACAGGUGGGAGGAGCAGCAUCCACAGGUGGGAGGAGCAGCAUCCACAGGUGGGAGGAGCAGCAUCCACAGGUGGGAGGAGCAGCUUUCACAGGUGGGAGGAGCAGCAUCCAAAGGCUGAGGUGCUGACAGAUAGCUGUCCUGUAGGGCCCUCUGAAAUCUGAUUAACACUUGUCUGAAAGACACAAAACUUAUUAAAAUGCAAGGACUAAAUCAAAAACAAAAUAUUAAUUAGGAAAGCAUCACUAGAGAGGACAGUAAAUUCCCCCGGAGCUUGUCCCCAAACCCUUUGAAUGUAGCUGCUGAGGAAGGUCAAGUAUCCCACUGACCUUCUUGAGGAUCGGUCAGCCCAUAGUGCAAUUUGUUGGAGGGGUGGAUGACAACGCACCAGGAAGUAUUGGCCAGAGCACAGAGACCCCCUUCAGAAGCAAAGAGGUGGUCUAAAGUGAAGCAGGAAAAAUUGGAACAAAAGGUUUUGUAGUUGUCAAUGCUGAAAAAUUUCCCAUGCAUAUAUCUUGUAAAUAAAAAGCUAUCAUGGAAAAAAAAAAAAAAGAA